CGCGCCGUAGCUAACGCAUUAAGUGCCCCGCCUGGGGAGUACGGCCGCAAGGCUAAAACUCAAAGGAAUUGACGGGGGCCCGCACAAGCGGCGGAGCAUGCGGAUUAAUUCGAUGCAACGCGAAGAACCUUACCAAGGCUUGACAUUCACCGGACCGCCCCAGAGAUGGGGUUUCCCUUCGGGGCUGGUGGACAGGUGGUGCAUGGUUGUCGUCAGCUCGUGUCGUGAGAUGUUGGGUUAAGUCCCGCAACGAGCGCAACCCUCGUUCUAUGUUGCCAGCACGUGAUGGUGGGGACUCAUAGGAGACUGCCGGGGUCAACUCGGAGGAAGGUGGGGAUGACGUCAAAUCAUCAUGCCCCUUAUGUCUUGGGCUUCACGCAUGCUACAAUGGCCGGUACAAAGGGUUGCGAUACUGUGAGGUGGAGCUAAUCCCAAAAAGCCGGUCUCAGUUCGGAUUGAGGUCUGCAACUCGACCUCAUGAAGUCGGAGUCGCUAGUAAUCGCAGAUCAGCAACGCUGCGGUGAAUACGUUCCCGGGCCUUGUACACACCGCCCGUCAAGUCACGAAAGUUGGUAACACCCGAAGCCGGUGGCCUAAC
This 598-nucleotide ribosomal RNA is filed under the name Kocuria sp. Ae-B5. Its description in RNAcentral is "bacterial SSU rRNA". It matches the Rfam family "Bacterial small subunit ribosomal RNA", at positions 842 to 1439 of the family's 1533-position model. The record is from RNAcentral. Lineage: Bacteria; Bacillati; Actinomycetota; Actinomycetes; Micrococcales; Micrococcaceae.